CCCCAUUGACCCCACUGACCCUCAUCGACCCCAUUGACCCCAAUGACCCCAUUGACCCCACUGACCCUCAUCGACCCCACUGACCCCAUUGACCCCAAUGACCCCACUGACCCCAUUCCCCCCAUUUGUCCCCAUGACCCCACAGACCCCAAAACCCAUCCUCACACGACCCCAAUGACCCCAUACCGCCCCCCCAGUGACCCUACAACCCCCCCACCCAUAUAAGCCCCCCAACCCCUCCUUGACCUUUGACCCCACGUGACCUUUGACCCCACGUGACCUUUGACCCCACAGAUUCCUCCGCCUGCGCCGCCACCCCGCACUGCCCCGCCCCAUUGUGGGGUUGUGUCGGGGUCUCCGGGGGGGGCCGGUCCUCAUCCUUUUAGGGGAUGGGCAGCUCUGGUUAUGGGGCCGGGGGACACCGCCACGACCCCUGCGGGCCGCCGUGUCCCCGACCCCAUUGGACCCCAACGACCUCAACCACCUUUAUGGGGACGGCGAGGACGCUUAUGGGGUCGACGCCCAUGGGGACGAUGCCUAUAGGGUCACUGACAACGGCGUCGAUGCCGACGGGGUGGCGGCGACCCCAUACAGCCUCCCAGGCUGCCCCAUAGCUUGGAGGGCGCUGCCGGGGGGGGGGUUCCUCUUAUGGGGUGGGAUGGAGAGGCUGCACCUCUGUCAUCUGGUGAGGGGGCAAUGGGGUCGCGGGGUUAUGGGGUCGGUGGGGGCUGUGGGGUCAAUGGGGGCAGAGGGGGUUAUGGGGUCAAUGGGGGCGAUGGGGUCAAUGGGGCGGUGGGGGCAGUGGGGAUAUUGGGGUCAUGGGGUUAUGGGGUCAAUGGGGUCAAUGGGGUCAGUGAGGGUAUUGGGGUCAUUGGGGUUAUGGGGUCAAUGGGGUCAGUGCGGGUAUUGGGGUCAAUGGGGACGUUGGGGUCACAGGGUUAUGGGG
This 946-nucleotide long non-coding RNA is filed under the name Phasianus colchicus (ring-necked pheasant). RNAcentral describes it as "lncRNA (ENSPCLG00000013412.1)". Lineage: Eukaryota; Metazoa; Chordata; Aves; Galliformes; Phasianidae. The record is from RNAcentral.